GGCGCGCCUCACACAUGCAAGUCGAACGAGAAAGCUCCCUUCGGGGGGCGAGUACAGUGGCGAACGGGUGAGUAACACGUGGGUUACCUGCCCUUGAGUGGGGAAUAACCCCGGGAAACUGGGGCUAAUACCGCAUACGACCCUUCGGGGUGAAAGCUUUAUGCGCUCGAGGAUGGGCCCGCGGUCGAUUAGCUUGUUGGUGGGGUAAUGGCCUACCAAGGCUUCGAUCGAUAGCCGGCCUGAGAGGGCACACGGCCACACUGGCACUGAGACACGGGCCAGACUCCUACGGGAGGCAGCAGUGGGGAAUUUUGGACAAUGGGGGCAACCCUGAUCCAGCGACGCCGCGUGAUCGAUGAAGGCCUUCGGGUCGUAAAGAUCUUUCAGCGGGAAAUAUGAUGAAGGUACCCGCAGAAGCAGGAGCGGCUAACUACGUGCCAGCAGCCGCGGUAAUAC
This 456-nucleotide ribosomal RNA is filed under the name uncultured sponge symbiont PAWS76. Its description in RNAcentral is "bacterial SSU rRNA". It matches the Rfam family "Bacterial small subunit ribosomal RNA", at positions 41 to 526 of the family's 1533-position model. The record is from RNAcentral.